GUUGUGUCCAUUUGGUCGGUUUAGGUGGGAAGUACUGUAGCAAUUAGCACCUCUUAGCAGACUUCACACAUUGCAGCAUUGAUCAGUUUGGAUGUAGACUUGACACAGACUAGGAGCAAAGUGUAAACUGGCCAUGGGCAUUUUUGCCACUACUGAGAGCCUCUGAAGGGGUAUAAUAGUCCCACACAACUUUUAUUAAACCUUUCACAGAUAAUGCAAUGUGCAUUCUAUAUUUUUGUGAAGAGGGGAAGGUUAAUUUACAGUGAUUGAGACCAAUUUUUUUAAAAGAUACUUUAACUUUGAAGGACUUAAAAAGUCUUCUUCUCUUUUAUGAAUACAUCUGGGAUUUAUGUUCCCAAGUCCUGCUCUAUAUCAUCAUACUGUGAAGAUGGUGGCUUCCCAUUUGAUUGUGAAUUAUUCUAUUUAGUUAUAUUUAAGACAUUAACAUUUCUCUGUCACACUUGUAAAGUGCCUAGUAUAGUAGUAUGUUUCUCUUAAUCUUUUUAGAGUUUGCUCCUCUGUGUAGUUUAGUGUAAUGACCUCACUAUUCUGUGCAGCAUAGAGAAUUAUCUUCUGUAUUACACAGCAGCUUUCCUUGAAUUGAGUACUUUGGGGACAAAAGUAUCUGUCCAGGAAGUGCCCCCAUUUCUUCUGUACAUCCCUAAGCUUAGACACAUUUGAUUUCUUGGUUGCUUCUUGGGAAGAGCCUGCUCUUGAAAAGAGGAGCCAACAUCUGGGCUCAUUACUGAAAGACACAAGUGAGGAAGAUAAUAUCUAAUAAUCUUUCUUUAAAACCACAGGAUACAGCUUCUUAAUGCACCCAGAAACCAUCUCCCAGCUAGUUCUGGUCCCCCUUGCAACCUCCAGACAUGGAAAAUUUCAGAAUGGCUGCAUCUGAAGGCCAGUUGGAACCAAAGGACUUACUACUUGUAAUCUUUCAGAGUGGACAGGACAGUGUACUGCAUGGGAAUUGUCUUAAAGUGUUGAAUUGCUGGCAUUUCCUGACAGACUUUUGGAACAAGGUGUGUCUCCUGUAUCUUGAAUGAGGCAUUCUAUUCUACUGAUAAAUAAUGCUCUAGUUUUGAUUAACCAUUCUAGUAUUGUUGCUUUUGUCAAGAAUAUUUAAUAAAGUAGUUAACUGAAUUAGCA
RNAcentral lists this long non-coding RNA (1149 nucleotides) under Chrysemys picta bellii (western painted turtle). Its description in RNAcentral is "lncRNA (ENSCPBG00000011301.1)". The record is from RNAcentral. Lineage: Eukaryota; Metazoa; Chordata; Testudines; Emydidae.